GUGCCAGCAGCCGCGGUAAUACGUAGGCAGCAAGCGUUGUUCGGAAUUACUGGGCGUAAAGAGUGUGUAGGCGGUUCUCUAAGUUCGGUGUGAAAUCUCCUGGCUUAACUGGGAGGGUGCGCCGGAAACUGGAGUGCUCGAGCGUGGGAGAGGAAAGCGGAAUUCCUGGUGUAGCGGUGAAAUGCGUAGAUAUCAGGAGGAACACCUGUGGUGUAGACAGCUUUCUGGACCAUAGCUGACGCUGAGGUGCGAAAGCGUGGGGAGCAAACAGGAUUAGAUACCCCGGUAGUCCUAGCCCUAAACGAUGAAUGCUUGGUGUGACGGGUAUCGAUCCCUGUCGUGCCGAAGCUAACGCAUUAAGCAUUCCGCCUGGGGAGUACGGGCGCAAGGCUGAAACUCAAAGGAAUUGACGG
This 413-nucleotide ribosomal RNA is filed under the name uncultured bacterium. RNAcentral's name for it is "bacterial SSU rRNA". It matches the Rfam family "Bacterial small subunit ribosomal RNA", at positions 505 to 916 of the family's 1533-position model. The record is from RNAcentral.